This 646-nucleotide ribosomal RNA is filed under the name uncultured bacterium. Its description in RNAcentral is "bacterial SSU rRNA". It matches the Rfam family "Bacterial small subunit ribosomal RNA", at positions 381 to 1019 of the family's 1533-position model. The record is from RNAcentral.
ACCUGAUCAGCGAUGCCGCGUGUGUGAAGAAGGCCUGAGGGUUGUAAAGCACUUUCAGUGGGGAGGAGGUAUAUUGGGUUAAGAGCUGAGUAUAUGGACGUUACCCACAGAAGAAGCACCGGCAAACUCCGUGCCAGCAGCCGCGGUAAUACGGAGGGUGCGAGCGUUAAUCGGAAUUACUGGGCGUAAAGCGUGCGUAGGUGGUUUAAUAAGUUAUGUGUGAAAUAUCUGGGCUUAACCUGGAUGCUGCAGAUAAGACUGUUAGGCUUGAGUAUGGGAGAGGGUAGUGGAAUUUCCGGUGUAGCGGUGAAAUGCGUAGAGAUCGGAAGGAACACUGGUGGCGAAGGCGGCUACCUGGCCUAAUACUGACACUGAGGUACGAAAGCAUGGGGAGCAAACAGGAUUAGAUACCCUGGUAGUCCAUGCUGUAAACGAUGUCAACUAGCUGUUGGGCCUGUAGAGGGUUUAGUGGCGCAGCUAACGCGAUAAGUUGACCGCCUGGGGAGUACGGUCGCAAGAUUAAAACUCAAAGGAAUUGACGGGGGCCCGCACAAGCGGUGGAGCAUGUGGUUUAAUUCGAUGCAACGCGAAGAACCUUACCUACUUUUGACAUAAUAGAGGACCUGGUAGAGAUACUGGGGUGCCC